Non-coding RNA from Mycena latifolia, 92 nucleotides. The record is from the annotation of a GenBank genome assembly. Lineage: Eukaryota; Fungi; Basidiomycota; Agaricomycetes; Agaricales; Mycenaceae.
GCCGUCGUCGACCAGCGGCAGGUCACCUCCGCUGUUUAAGGAAUGAUGUCUGUGAACGGGAGGAACCGGGGGUUCGAUUCCCUCCGGCGGCA